GAGAUGAAGCUAUGAGAACUAAAAUGCAGAGGGAUUUGAAAGACCAGUAAGAAGGACAAAAAUACCUCAGUCACAGAGUUUAGAGACUUAUCUGGAAAGGAAUGGAAGAUGUGUGCAUAAGAGAAGAUGGAUUGAGUUAUUGUAUGUAAAAGGUCACAUUUAGGUUCCUCUAGGCUCAAGUACAGGUUUCUGUUACACAUGGAUUACCGGCAUGACAACAAGGCUCAUUAUUUUCAGAAGCUUGUGACUAUGUGGGAGAAUUUAUAUGUACUUCUGUGUGAUGAAGAAUUGGAUGCAGUCUCUUUGGAAGCUGUGCACCAACAAAAGAUGAAGAAUAGACAAGCCCACUCUUCAUCAGAGAGAGAACUAAAAUAAUGAAGACCAGAACUAUACAAGUUAUCAAGACGUACUAAUUCCUUAGUUGAUAAAGAACCUGCAUGAGACAGUGAUACAUCAGAGAGAGAAAAACUUUAAGCACUGAGAGGGGACAAACUGAUGGAUUCCAUGGCAAAGUUUCCUGACACAAUUCACCUCCAGAAACGUUAAUGUUACUUAGUAGAAAAAAAUAAAAAUCUCCAUGUUUAAAAAUAAAGAUUCAACUUAAACGACCCUAUAAUCAUGAAGAAAAUUGUCUUUAAAAUGGAAGUGUAUUAACCUCUGUGAGGUCCAGAGAAUACCUGGGGCCCAUAUAACAUAAGUCAGAAUUUUUUAACAUUAUAAACCAAGAUUAGUUAUUAAAAAUAUGUUUUAUCUUUUUACCCUGACAAAUAUGUCAGUAGAAGUCUUGAAACUGAGCACAAGUGUAG
Molecule: long non-coding RNA, 806 nt
Filed under: Pan paniscus (pygmy chimpanzee)
Lineage: Eukaryota; Metazoa; Chordata; Mammalia; Primates; Hominidae
Description: lncRNA (ENSPPAG00000045297.1)
Source: RNAcentral